AGUUUUCAGUCGUAAUCUGUGUCUGUUUUAGGCUCUUCUGGUCCUGCAUCAGCCUGAAAGCAUCGAGCUUUGGAACCCAGACGCUCCUGUGAAAACUUUCUGGGACAUCAGGAAGCUGUUUGGUCUGCAGCUGAUCAGCAGCACUGAGAUUCUGAAGUGGAUUCAAAAGAUUCUCACCUGCACAAACACAUUUCUUCUCAGGAACAAAGAUCAGGCCACAGCAGGCAGUCACAUCACCAUCUGCCUGCAGGCCUAGACCAAGCUGGAGGUCUGUCUUUACAUGUUCCCGUGGAGUCCAGACACGGAGGCAGUUCUGGUGGACAUGUCCUGUUUCCACUACCUGUGUGAGUGUUUCAUGGUGUUUGCAUCCGUCAGUAACAUGAUG
RNAcentral lists this long non-coding RNA (385 nucleotides) under Carassius auratus (goldfish). Its description in RNAcentral is "lncRNA (ENSCARG00000026951.1)". Lineage: Eukaryota; Metazoa; Chordata; Actinopteri; Cypriniformes; Cyprinidae. The record is from RNAcentral.